AUACGGAGGAUGCAAGCGUUAUCCGGAUUUAUUGGGUUUAAAGGGUGCGUAGGCGGAUUAUUAAGUCAGUGGUGAAAACCUGCAGCUUAACUGUAGACUUGCCAUUGAUACUGAUAAUCUUGAGUAUGGUCAAGGCAGGCGGAAUGUGUAAUGUAGCGGUGAAAUGCUUAGAUAUUACACAGAACACCGAUUGCGAAGGCAGCUUGCUGGGCCAUCACUGACGCUGAUGCACGAAAGCGUGGGGAGCGAACAGGAUUAGGUACCCUGGUAGUCCACGCCGUAAACUAUGAUCACUAGCUGUUGGCGAUAUACUGUCAGCGGCAAAGCAAAAGCAUUAAGUGAUCCACCUGGGGAGUACGGCCGCAAGGUUGAA
RNAcentral lists this ribosomal RNA (373 nucleotides) under uncultured bacterium. Its description in RNAcentral is "bacterial SSU rRNA". It matches the Rfam family "Bacterial small subunit ribosomal RNA", at positions 523 to 898 of the family's 1533-position model. The record is from RNAcentral.